This 199-nucleotide long non-coding RNA is filed under the name Elaeis guineensis (African oil palm). RNAcentral describes it as "long non-coding RNA (EGUI_LNC025743)". The record is from RNAcentral. Lineage: Eukaryota; Viridiplantae; Streptophyta; Magnoliopsida; Arecales; Arecaceae.
GUAGAGCACCACCUUCGAGAACCUACACCGUUGGCGGCAGCCUUCUGCCAACACCGCCUAUCACUGCCAUGCAGCACUACCAUGGUGGUGGCAUCCCCCAAACAAACUCCGGCACGUGGUAUCUCACCUAUCAGCAACUCGCAACAAUGAUGCCUAUCAUGGCCCUGACCAACUAUCAGCAACUCGAGUAAUCCACCAC